RNAcentral lists this ribosomal RNA (474 nucleotides) under Pseudomonas sp. 01WB02.1-64. RNAcentral describes it as "bacterial SSU rRNA". It matches the Rfam family "Bacterial small subunit ribosomal RNA", at positions 9 to 479 of the family's 1533-position model. The record is from RNAcentral. Lineage: Bacteria; Pseudomonadati; Pseudomonadota; Gammaproteobacteria; Pseudomonadales; Pseudomonadaceae.
GAGUUUGAUCAUGGCUCAGAUUGAACGCUGGCGGCAGGCCUAACACAUGCAAGUCGAGCGGUAGAGAGAAGCUUGCUUCUCUUGAGAGCGGCGGACGGGUGAGUAAUGCCUAGGAAUCUGCCUGGUAGUGGGGGAUAACGUUCGGAAACGGACGCUAAUACCGCAUACGUCCUACGGGAGAAAGCAGGGGACCUUCGGGCCUUGCGCUAUCAGAUGAGCCUAGGUCGGAUUAGCUAGUUGGUGAGGUAAUGGCUCACCAAGGCGACGAUCCGUAACUGGUCUGAGAGGAUGAUCAGUCACACUGGAACUGAGACACGGUCCAGACUCCUACGGGAGGCAGCAGUGGGGAAUAUUGGACAAUGGGCGAAAGCCUGAUCCAGCCAUGCCGCGUGUGUGAAGAAGGUCUUCGGAUUGUAAAGCACUUUAAGUUGGGAGGAAGGGCAGUUGCCUAAUACGUGAUUGUUUUGACGUACC